Molecule: microRNA precursor, 154 nt
Filed under: Pelobates cultripes (western spadefoot toad)
Lineage: Eukaryota; Metazoa; Chordata; Amphibia; Anura; Pelobatidae
Source: RNAcentral
UCAAUUCAACUUUCAUCAGGAUAAUCCAAAAAAUAUGUACGCAUGUGUGUGUGUAUGUAUAUUAUAUAUAAUAUAGUAAUAUAUACAUACAAACACAAAUACAUACACACGUGUGUAUAUAUUUUUUGGAUUAUCCUGAUGAAAGUUGAAUUGA